This 576-nucleotide unclassified non-coding RNA is filed under the name Hevea brasiliensis (rubber tree). Lineage: Eukaryota; Viridiplantae; Streptophyta; Magnoliopsida; Malpighiales; Euphorbiaceae. The record is from RNAcentral.
CCGCUUUCGUUUCUACAACUUGUCGUAUAUUAGAGAGUGAUAGACGCAGCAUCAAAGUUUAGAUAUUUUUUUUAGAACCCACUUGUUUUGAGAGUCCCUUGAGUUUCCACUGUAAGGGUGGUUUUCCUUGCCCUUCCAGGCAGGGAAAAUCGCCCUCAACUUCUCUCAACUGGAUGUGGUCGCCCCUCCUCAUAUCUGGUGGAGUUGUAUAGUUUUUGUUCUUCUGGUGGAGGAGCUUGGAUUUAAGAGAGGACUGUUUAUUUUUCUCCUUUUUUAUUGAUUGAUGUAUAUUUAAAAUUUUUUUCUUAGAUCUGUGUUUGUUAUGUUCAGGUGGUGCAGGAGUCUCGCGAUUUGGGAGUAGUGACUUUCUCUGUGCAGGUCAUCGCUGAGAUGAGGCUCAUAUUCAUGGUAGUGGUGAGAGUGCAAAUUAACUAAGGAGGAUUUGUCCUUUGGUUCCGGUGAGCUACGAAGCUUGAAGUCCUGCACCUCAUGGUUAUAAAAGACUGAAAUGCCAUGGCUUUGCUCUUUCUUUCUCUUAGAGUCCAAGUUCUGCCUGUUGCUGCCACUGGAGAUGUU